This 491-nucleotide ribosomal RNA is filed under the name uncultured bacterium. RNAcentral describes it as "partial 16S ribosomal RNA". It matches the Rfam family "Bacterial small subunit ribosomal RNA", at positions 29 to 507 of the family's 1533-position model. The record is from RNAcentral.
AGUGAACGCUGGCGGUAGACCUAACACAUGCAAGUCGAACGGCAGCACAGUAAGAGCUUGCUCUUACGGGUGGCGAGUGGCGGACGGGUGAGGAAUACAUCGGAAUCUACUUUUUCGUGGGGGAUAACGUAGGGAAACUUACGCUAAUACCGCAUACGACCUACGGGUGAAAGCAGGGGAUCUUCGGACCUUGCGCGAUUGAAUGAGCCGAUGUCGGGUUAGCUAGUUGGCGGGGUAAAGCCCACCAAGGCGACGAUCCGUAGCUGGUCUGGGAGGAUGAACAGCCACACUGGAACUGGGACACGGUCCAGACUCCUACGGGAGGCAGCAGUGGGGAAUAUUGGACAAUGGGCGCAAGCCUGAUCCAGCCAUACCGCGUGGGUGAAGAAGGCCUUCGGGUUGUAAAGCCCUUUUGUUGGGAAAGAAAAGCAGCAGGUUAAUACCCCGCUGUUCUGACGGUACCCAAAGAAUAAGCACCGGCUAACUUCGUG